The sequence is a transfer RNA, 71 nucleotides long. It matches the Rfam family "tRNA". From Rfam's summary of the family: Transfer RNA (tRNA) molecules are approximately 80 nucleotides in length. Their secondary structure includes four short double-helical elements and three loops (D, anti-codon, and T loops). The record is from Rfam.
GCCCCUAUGGUGUAAUGGUAACACGUGAGUCUCAUAAUCUCUAGCCCUCAGUUCGAUUCUGAGUGGGGGCA